GUUCAAGUGGCUUAGUGGUAGAGUGCUUGCCCAUUAUGCAUGAAGCCCUGGGUUCGAUACCUUAGCUUGCCCA
RNAcentral lists this transfer RNA (73 nucleotides) under Dipodomys ordii (Ord's kangaroo rat). It matches the Rfam family "tRNA". From Rfam's summary of the family: Transfer RNA (tRNA) molecules are approximately 80 nucleotides in length. Their secondary structure includes four short double-helical elements and three loops (D, anti-codon, and T loops). Lineage: Eukaryota; Metazoa; Chordata; Mammalia; Rodentia; Heteromyidae. The record is from Rfam by way of RNAcentral.